UAUAGUAUAGUUCAAUGGUAGAGUGAUUGCCUAGCAAGCACAAGGCCUUGAGUUCAUCCCCAACACUACAA
Molecule: transfer RNA, 71 nt
Filed under: Marmota monax (woodchuck)
Lineage: Eukaryota; Metazoa; Chordata; Mammalia; Rodentia; Sciuridae
Description: tRNA.Ala
Source: RNAcentral